GCCGGGGUGGCGAAAUUGGUAAACGCAGCGGACUCAAAAUCCGCCGGUGGUGACACCUUGAGGGUUCGAGUCCCUCCCCCGGCACCA
Molecule: transfer RNA, 87 nt
Filed under: Gammaproteobacteria bacterium
Lineage: Bacteria; Pseudomonadati; Pseudomonadota; Gammaproteobacteria
Also listed under: 2 other names
Description: tRNA-Leu
Rfam family: tRNA
About the family: Transfer RNA (tRNA) molecules are approximately 80 nucleotides in length. Their secondary structure includes four short double-helical elements and three loops (D, anti-codon, and T loops).
Source: RNAcentral